RNAcentral lists this transfer RNA (77 nucleotides) under Leucobacter sp. wl10. RNAcentral's name for it is "tRNA-Met". It matches the Rfam family "tRNA". Rfam says of the family: Transfer RNA (tRNA) molecules are approximately 80 nucleotides in length. The record is from RNAcentral. Lineage: Bacteria; Bacillati; Actinomycetota; Actinomycetes; Micrococcales; Microbacteriaceae.
GGGGCGUUAGCUCAGUCGGUUAGAGCAGCGGACUCAUAAUCCGUCGGUCGCGGGUUCAAGUCCCGCACGCCCUACCA